CCUACGGGAGGCAGCAGUGAGGAAUAUUGGUCAAUGGGAGAGAUCCUGAACCAGCCAAGCCGCGUGAGGGAAGACGGCCCUAUGGGUUGUAAACCUCUUUUGUCGGAGAACAAAACCCGGGACGUGUCCAGGACUGCGUGUAUCCGAAGAAAAAGCAUCGGCUAACUCCGUGCCAGCAGCCGCGGUAAUACGGAGGAUGAGAGCGUUCGCCGGAUUUAUUGGGUUUAAAGGGUGCGUAGGCGGUCCGUUAAGUCAGCGGGAAAAUUGCGGGGCUCAACCCCGUCGAGCAGUUGAAACUGGCAGACUUGAGUUGGCGAGAAGUACGCGGAAUGCGCGGUGUAGCGGUGAAAUGCAUAGAUAUCGCGCAGAACUCCGAUUGCGAAGGCAGCGUACCGGCGCCAGACUGACGCUGAGGUACGAAAGCGUGGGGAUCGAACAGGAUUAGAUACCCUGGUAGUC
This 459-nucleotide ribosomal RNA is filed under the name uncultured bacterium. Its description in RNAcentral is "partial 16S ribosomal RNA". It matches the Rfam family "Bacterial small subunit ribosomal RNA", at positions 338 to 795 of the family's 1533-position model. The record is from RNAcentral.